Molecule: long non-coding RNA, 391 nt
Filed under: Ananas comosus (pineapple)
Lineage: Eukaryota; Viridiplantae; Streptophyta; Magnoliopsida; Poales; Bromeliaceae
Description: long non-coding RNA (ACOM_LNC018658)
Source: RNAcentral
AAUUUUAAAUUCAAAAUUUAGUUAUUUCAUAUUUUUUAAUAAAAAAAUAAAUAAACUAUCUCAAAAUAAAAUAAAAUUCGUAAAAAAAAUACAAAUCUUAUCUAAAUUAUUAAUUAUUAUAAAUCAGCUACUCAAUCUUUUAAAAUUUUAAUUUUACUAUCCAAUUUUACCAUUCAAUUGAUUUAAGUCGACCAAUGAUACUUCGAUUUUGAAAUUUAAGUCAAAAUUUUAUUUUAAUAAAUUUAUAGUUGUGAGAAUUAUAUAAAGUAUAAUAAUUAAAUCUGUCAAGAUAAGCAACUCAUUUAAAUUUUAAAAUCAAAAUUUUAUUUACAAACUCAAAUUAAAUAAAUUAAAAAAAAGUAGCUGAUAAAAUUAAAAAUUUAAAAUAUUU